RNAcentral lists this ribosomal RNA (244 nucleotides) under Vibrio sp. 99-70-13A1. Its description in RNAcentral is "partial 16S ribosomal RNA". It matches the Rfam family "Bacterial small subunit ribosomal RNA", at positions 1316 to 1533 of the family's 1533-position model. Lineage: Bacteria; Pseudomonadati; Pseudomonadota; Gammaproteobacteria; Vibrionales; Vibrionaceae. The record is from RNAcentral.
CUCCAUGAAGUCGGAAUCGCUAGUAAUCGUGAAUCAGAAUGUCACGGUGAAUACGUUCCCGGGCCUUGUACACACCGCCCGUCACACCAUGGGAGUGGGCUGCACCAGAAGUGGUUAGUUUAACCGCCCUUUCUUCGGAGAGAGUGGAGGACGAUCACCACGGUGUGGUUCAUGACUGGGGUGAAGUCGUAACAAGGUAGCCCUAGGGGAACCUGGGGCUGGAUCACCUCCUUAUACGAAGAUA